AUACCCGGAGCUAUUGUUAACGUAAUGUUUGUCAGUGAGGUUUCUCCUCGUCAGAGCUAGUAACGAAUUGCUGUGUGUAGUCUUUGCCCAUCCCCUGAGGUGGGCUUUUUUU
This 112-nucleotide small RNA is filed under the name Dickeya dadantii 3937. RNAcentral's name for it is "RprA RNA; positive regulatory RNA for rpoS translation". The record is from RNAcentral. Lineage: Bacteria; Pseudomonadati; Pseudomonadota; Gammaproteobacteria; Enterobacterales; Pectobacteriaceae.